Centruroides sculpturatus (bark scorpion) is the source of this 161-nucleotide long non-coding RNA. RefSeq lists it as uncharacterized. The record is from RefSeq and is a predicted model, not a curated record. NCBI's taxonomy places the organism in Eukaryota, Metazoa, Arthropoda, Arachnida, Scorpiones, Buthidae. The transcript is spliced from 3 exons.
CCAUCCUGUACCUCAUAUAUCAAUAAAUAAUAAUUGCCUUUGGUUUGUCCAGAUUGACAUCUUCGCUUUAUGGAAAUUUCAACAAAAUCGACAGAUUUUUUGCAUCGAGAUUUUCUCUUGUAUUCAAAUUAAAGAUGCUGGAUUUCAUGAAGAGAUUCGGG